UCAUCUUGUUUCCAACAGUCUGGCUGAAAAGAAGGUCAUGGAAGAGUGGCCACAGGCCUCAAGGAGUUACGGACUAUGAGAGACCAAAGGAACACACAUAAGUCACAUACAACAGAAGGUCUCCUCAUCAUUCCCUGGAGAGAAAGAGUCACAAGUGAGAACAUCUGAUUGGCUGGGCCAAGGUCACAUGCCUCUGCCUUUCUGGCUGGAGAUCUGUGUGGCGGCUGGAGCGGGCGCUACCAUCUCCAUCUUCCAGGCAACACAGUGAAAGAAAAUAGAAAGGCUACCUGACCUUGUGUCUCCUGAUUGCCAAUUCUGUUGAUUCCACUGCUGUCCCAGGCAUCCAGACAGUCCCCAAACCUCUGCAGAUCCAAAGCGCAAGCUUUUCUGCAGUUCCAGAAAUGUGCGAACUGCAUCAGCCUACAUGGGGUCAUCCUAAUAGUCCCUGUGGAGAUGUGUUAGUAAUAUGACCAUAUGUAUUUUUUUAACCUAUGAUGAACACACAAAAAGGGGUUAUUGGCCUCUUGUUUUUUUUCUCUUCACUCUUUAUUGCUGUUCUCAUGGUAGAUGUCGCGGGGCCUAGCAUGACCCAACACCUAUCAGAGAGGCCCUUAGCCCUUCAGUUUUUCCACUGAUUUUCAGAACUCCCCCAGAACUUUCAAUAAAUUUCUC
Long non-coding RNA from Suricata suricatta (meerkat), 672 nucleotides. RefSeq lists it as uncharacterized. The record is from RefSeq and is a predicted model, not a curated record. Lineage: Eukaryota; Metazoa; Chordata; Mammalia; Carnivora; Herpestidae. The transcript has 4 exons.